Molecule: ribosomal RNA, 490 nt
Filed under: uncultured bacterium
Lineage: Bacteria
Description: partial 16S ribosomal RNA
Rfam family: Bacterial small subunit ribosomal RNA
Source: RNAcentral
AUUGAACGCUGGCGGCAUGCCUUACACAUGCAAGUCGAACGGCAGCAUGAUCUAGCUUGCUAGAUUGAUGGCGAGUGGCGAACGGGUGAGUAAUACAUCGGAACGUGCCCUGUAGUGGGGGAUAACUAGUCGAAAGAUUAGCUAAUACCGCAUACGACCUGAGGGUGAAAGUGGGGGACCGCAAGGCCUCAUGCUAUAGGAGCGGCCGAUGUCUGAUUAGCUAGUUGGUGGGGUAAAGGCCCACCAAGGCGACGAUCAGUAGCUGGUCUGAGAGGACGAUCAGCCACACUGGGACUGAGACACGGCCCAGACUCCUACGGGAGGCAGCAGUGGGGAAUUUUGGACAAUGGGGGCAACCCUGAUCCAGCAAUGCCGCGUGUGUGAAGAAGGCCUUCGGGUUGUAAAGCACUUUUGUCCGGAAAGAAAUCGCACUUACUAAUAUUAGGUGUGGAUGACGGUACCGGAAGAAUAAGGGCCGGCUAACUACGUG